Molecule: long non-coding RNA, 481 nt
Filed under: Mytilus galloprovincialis (Mediterranean mussel)
Lineage: Eukaryota; Metazoa; Mollusca; Bivalvia; Mytilida; Mytilidae
Source: RNAcentral
UUUUUUGUUGAAAAAAAAUUGCUGUUGCAAAAAUUUGGAAUAGUCGUUUAAAAUUAAUUAAGGUAUCUCCUAUGAUUCAUUUUUAUCAGCAAUUCAAGGUGACUUUAAUAAAACGUUUCCAUUUUUUAGUCCUCUAGCAUCACUUCAGAAAUAAAACUGAGAAUGGAAGUGGGGAAUGUAUCACAGAGACAACAACCCGACCAAAGACCACAGAGGCCACCAAUGGUUCUUCAAACACAGCGAGAAAAACCAGCAUCAAGAGGCGGGCUUCAGCAUGGCACUUAAAAUGUGUGUACUAGUUUAAUGAAAACGGACGUCACACUGAACCCCAAAAUAUUUAAAUGAACAUAAUUUAAAAACAAAUUACCAUGCAAGACUAUUACAGAGGCUCCGGAAUUGGGACAGGCACAAUAAUGAAGCGAGGUUAAUCUUGUUUCUACCUCUAGCUAAUGUAGAAUAAACAAAGACACAGCAAAACGCA